AAAGUGCUGGUGAGACAGCCAGGUGGCAAGCGGGUCCCCGGAAAAUCUCCAACCGACAUGCGCUCUGGGGUGGAGCCUCGCGAAGUUCGCGCUGUUUGCAGCCAGGAGGAGCCUGGCCCCUUCACUUCCUGUGUGGAACCUGGGAUUAGAAUGGUCAAGCAGGAAGCGUUCUAGCAGGGACUCUGGCCUAGAAAGAGUCCCUGUUAACUCCUUUUCACUCAAUAAAACUCUGUCUUACUCACCAUUCAAAUUGUCUGCAAGCCUGAAUUUUUGUGGCUGUGGGACAAAGAACGCCAUCUUUAGCUUCACUGAGGAAAAGUCCUGAAACAUUUUUGACCCUCAACAUGGGGCUCAAGAAGCGAUAGUCCAGAGGGCCCCUGAGACAUCCAGAAAAGAGAGGUAAACGGGAUGAUUUGACAUGUUUAGGCUUGUGAUAACUUUGGAGAUUGUGACAUUGGAAUAAAGGAAAAUCUACAGAACUAAUGAAGAGCUGAAAUGUUCAUGAAUAUCAACCAAAGCAAGAAUUAACUGAAUGAACGGAACUCAGAAAACUAAAGCAAAUCUUUUUGACUUUUGCUUGGAAUAUUGCUCAUCUUUGUUUUGUUUCUCAGAGUCAAGGAAACUUAUUUUGAACUAUUUAUGGCCUUUAAUAAUUAAGCAAGGUACACUUCUGUAACCAAAAUUUGGAGCAUGUUUGUUUCUCUCUGGUUCCUCUAAAAUUUGAAAACUAUCUGUGAGUAUUCGUGACUUACGGCAAUAUAGUUGUUUACAUCAGUGCAA
Non-coding RNA from Chlorocebus sabaeus (green monkey), 780 nucleotides. Lineage: Eukaryota; Metazoa; Chordata; Mammalia; Primates; Cercopithecidae. The record is from RefSeq and is a predicted model, not a curated record.